This 85-nucleotide non-coding RNA is filed under the name Candidatus Izimoplasma sp. HR1. RNAcentral describes it as "Candidatus Izimaplasma sp. HR1 c-di-GMP-I riboswitch aptamer". It matches the Rfam family "c-di-GMP-I riboswitch aptamer". From Rfam's summary of the family: GEMM was predicted in a large-scale screen for bacterial structured RNA regulatory elements. Genes associated with GEMM are involved in a diverse array of functions, including chemotaxis regulation, signal transduction, secretion and chitin. The record is from Rfam by way of RNAcentral. Lineage: Bacteria; Bacillati; Mycoplasmatota; Mollicutes; Candidatus Izemoplasmatales; Candidatus Izemoplasmataceae.
AUAUUCAAAGGGCAAAUAUAUGGAAACAUAUAGACGCAAAGUCACAGAGCUACAGGAGAAAUCCCAUGCUGGCUGGACCGCAAUA